RNAcentral lists this unclassified non-coding RNA (370 nucleotides) under Hevea brasiliensis (rubber tree). Lineage: Eukaryota; Viridiplantae; Streptophyta; Magnoliopsida; Malpighiales; Euphorbiaceae. The record is from RNAcentral.
AACUUUCCGGGAGUUCAUGAGCAAGUAUCCCAGAGCACCAGAUCUAUCUUUGCUUGAUACUUGUUAUGAUUUAAGCAAUUACACUACCAUUAGUAUUCCAAAAAUCAGCUUCAACUUCAAUGGGAAUACGAAGAUGGACAUAGUUCCAAAUGGUAUUUUCAUCGUAAACGGUGCAUCUCAGGUUUGCUUGGCUUUCGCUGGAAAUGGAGAUGAUGAUAGUAUUGGGAUUUUUGGGAAUACACAACAGCAGACAAUGGAGAUUGUAUAUGAUGUUGCUGGUGAGAAAUUAGGGUUUGGUUAUGGUGGAUGUACUUGAAAAAUCCAAAAUACUGCAGUUGAAUACUCUAUAUUGUAAUAAGUACUGAAAAAU